ACGGGAGGCAGCAGUGGGGAAUAUUGGGCAAUGGGCGAAAGCCUGACCCAGCGACGCCGCGUGAAGGAAGAAGGUCUUCGGAUUGUAAACUUCUUUUAUGAGGGACGAAGGACGUGACGGUACCUCAUGAAUAAGCCACGGCUAACUACGUGCCAGCAGCCGCGGUAAUAAGUAGGUGGCAAGCGUUAUCCGGAUUUACUGGGUGUAAAGGGCGCGUAGGCGGGGAUGCAAGUCAGAUGUGAAAUCUAUGGGCUUAACUCAUAAACUGCAUUUGAAACUGUAUUGCUUGAGUGCUGGAGAGGUAGAUGGAAUUCCUUGUGUAGCGGUGAAAUGCGUAGAUAUAAGGAAGAACACCAGUGGCGAAGGCGAUCUACUGGACAGUAACUGACGCUGAGGCGCGAAAGCGUGGGGAGCAAACAGGAUUAGAUACCCUGGUA
Molecule: ribosomal RNA, 437 nt
Filed under: uncultured Oscillospiraceae bacterium
Lineage: Bacteria; Bacillati; Bacillota; Clostridia; Eubacteriales; Oscillospiraceae
Description: bacterial SSU rRNA
Rfam family: Bacterial small subunit ribosomal RNA
Source: RNAcentral